Molecule: non-coding RNA, 188 nt
Filed under: Acetobacterium bakii
Lineage: Bacteria; Bacillati; Bacillota; Clostridia; Eubacteriales; Eubacteriaceae
Source: RNAcentral
CUUACUUAUGAUAUAAUACGUUCAAUUGAAUAACAAAGUGUAAUAUGAAAAUCGGUUAAAAUCCGAUGCGGUACCGCCACUGUAAAAGUGAGCCUCUGUAAAAUCGAUCAACACUGGAAAGAAAUUUCUGGGAAGUUGUUACAGAAGGCGAUGAUCUUAAGCCAGGAUGCUUCUACAUUUUGUCAUAA